Molecule: ribosomal RNA, 209 nt
Filed under: uncultured Syntrophaceae bacterium
Lineage: Bacteria; Pseudomonadati; Thermodesulfobacteriota; Syntrophia; Syntrophales; Syntrophaceae
Description: partial 16S ribosomal RNA
Rfam family: Bacterial small subunit ribosomal RNA
Source: RNAcentral
CGUGUAGGCGGCUUGACAAGUCAGAUGUGAAACUCCCUGGGCUUAACCCGAGGAAGUGCAUUUGAAACUGUUUGGCUGGAGUAAGGGAGAGGAAAGUGGAAUUCCUGGUGUAGAGGUGAAAUUCGUAGAUAUCAGGAGGAACACCGGUGGCGAAGGCGACUUUCUGGCCCUAUACUGACGCUGAGACGCGAAAGCGUGGGUAGCAAACA